Vidua macroura (Pin-tailed whydah) is the source of this 430-nucleotide long non-coding RNA. RefSeq lists it as uncharacterized. The record is from RefSeq and is a predicted model, not a curated record. The transcript is spliced from 3 exons. Lineage: Eukaryota; Metazoa; Chordata; Aves; Passeriformes; Viduidae.
GGGACACCGCAACAGCCAGGGGACUGUCUGGGUCCAGCUGGAGCUGGUUGGAGCUGGAUGGAACUCAUUGGAAUUGCUUGGAAUUGGGGAACAUUCCCAGCUCUCCCAGCCUGGCUCCAGCCCUGCAGCAGCUCCGGGUUCUCCUCUGGGCUCUCUCCAGCAGCUCCACGUCCUCCUGCUGUUGGCCCCAGGGCUGGGGCAGCUCUGCAGUUUUUACAGAUUAUUGCCUCAAAAAGGGGCACAACCCGAGCUGGAGAAGGGCCGCUAGGACCUGACUUCUGUCCCGGUACAGAGGGUGCAGCUCAAGCUGGGUGUGCUCGGAACAGGAGGUUUAUUUACGAGUUUAUCCUGUUUUUAUUUCUCCCUGCUCCCUGAGCGUUCCCCCCUUGUUCUGCCAGGGGAGAACACAAUAAUAAAGAUGCAAAUGUGA